RNAcentral lists this ribosomal RNA (433 nucleotides) under uncultured bacterium. Its description in RNAcentral is "partial 16S ribosomal RNA". It matches the Rfam family "Bacterial small subunit ribosomal RNA", at positions 29 to 507 of the family's 1533-position model. The record is from RNAcentral.
AACGAACGCUGGCGGCAUGCCUAACACAUGCAAGUCGAACGAGACCUUCGGGUCUAGUGGCGCACGGGUGCGUAACGCGUGGGAACCUGCCCUUAGGUUCGGAAUAACUCCCCGAAAGGGGUGCUAAUACCGGAUAAUGUCUUCGGACCAAAGAUUUAUCGCCUUUGGAUGGGCCCGCGUUGGAUUAGCUAGUUGGUAGGGUAAAAGCCUACCAAGGCGACGAUCCAUAGCUGGUCUGAGAGGAUGAUCAGCCACACUGGGACUGAGACACGGCCCAGACUCCUACGGGAGGCAGCAGUGGGGAAUAUUGGACAAUGGGCGAAAGCCUGAUCCAGCAAUGCCGCGUGAGUGAUGAAGGACUUAGGGUUGUAAAGCUCUUUUACCAGGGAUGAUAAUGACAGUACCGGGAGAAUAGGCUCCGGCUAACUCCGUG